UCCUUAUUUCUUGAGUUUAAUUUUUUGCAUAAAAAAUAAAAUAAAAUAAAAAGUAGCUUCUGGUUAAGGAAUAUGGUUGCUUGGUAGCAGCGUCGCCUGAGCUUCCCUCUAGAUUGAAAGUGCGAGACCGUGGGUUCUCCAUGUUCGCCAAUGGGCCAAUGUCCAGUUAUCGUGACAGUUAAACUGACUUUAUCUUUCCUUGACCUCUUUAGAAGUUCCUCUAUCUUUGGUUGUAGAUGCAGUUCCCUUUUGAUGAGUCCGAGUGGACGGUUUAAUGUCUCAGCUUCGGAUUCAUCAAGAGAUGCCCCGGCCUUAGUCAACUCGUCGGCCCUCUCAUUUCUAUGUAUGUAUGUUAUAUGGCCGGGAACACAGAUGAGAGAUUCCUAUUGACUCGGCCGUCGAGCUUAACGUGCACUUGCAAUCUUACUGUGUUAGGCACGGUGCACAUUAGAGCGAUACGAUGCGCGAUGCGAUAUGAAAGCGACAUCGAGAUGCGCGUAGUGCACACUAGACCGAUGCGACACGCAAUACCAUGGGCGGUGGGAUAGUAAACCGUGUCGUACGUCCGAUACGCAUGCGAUAUUAUAUCGCAGCAGUGUCGCACGGCCGAUACGCAUGCGAUAUUAUAAGGCAACUUCCCCUGAAAGUUUUUUCUGAACUCUAUCGUAGGAGUGGUAUAGUCUGAUUGUUUCUCGGAUUCGUUAAGCUUUCAGCGCUUUCUAGUAGCCUGACGCUUUGGGGCUGAUUUCAGAAAGCGCAGGCAUUUUUCUUAAGGACGCUUACAGGUGUGGAUUCUUUAAAAGGCUAUAGCUAGAAGUUUUCCAGUUUACCUAUCGUGUUAUCCAGCACUACAGCAGUUUUAAUCCGACACGAAUGUUUCAAUGGAUACUCUCCAGUCAUCUACGACAAUACCAUCUAUUGUCAGGGUUAAGUCCAGCACUCCAUCCCAUCCAGAAAAUCUUUGGGUGCUGGACAUAUGAAGGUAAUAUAAAAUGUAAGCGAUGAAGUGUUCUACCUCGUUAGGGGGCGGCCCUGUCAUGAACCAGGUGGGCAGCUGCCAGGAAGAGGUUUUGAUGCCCUUCCAUCUCCACCUUUUUUGAUUAGAAUGCUCGGUCACGGUUUACCUAUAGAAGAUGUUAUAUGUGCUGAUUUUAAAUCUGUGGAUCGGAUCAUCAUAUCUUAUCCACGGCUCUUGGAUUAGGGUGAUGUCGAUGCUUCCCUCUCCUGGAAGGAUUGACAGAUUAUUGUUAUAUUGAGUGCUGCAGAUUAAUGCACUUCACCAGCGUCGGAGUCUGCAUCGACAUUGACGUCUUUCAGCAACAGGCUCCCAUCAUCGACCUCCUUAGGUUCGUUUUCAUUAGAAGCCUUGUCGCCUUGAAAGAUUUUCAUCUUGGCCAUGCGGAUGCCAAAGCGAAUUUUGCUGUCCCCAUUUGACAGUGCCUCAAUGGUCUGCUGGUCCUGUUGAGCUGUUCAACUUUUAUAAGUUGCCAGUCUGCUAUACACUGCACGUGUUUAUUCUGAUGCAUUAGGCACCUCAGCAGCUUCUCGUCUGGUUCCUCCAGAGAAGCAAACAAGAUACGCGCACGUGGCCUAUGAGGGACGUGCUUAGCUGGAAUCAGCCUUAGUUUAAAGUCGACGAGUGUUUCGCUCAUUUUAGCGACGCAGUCAGCGAUCUGAUAACCAUGAAUCCUCGGAAGGAUCCAGAGGAAUCAAAUUCCGGAUCUGGACCCGCGGUUUAUCGAGAACGUAGUCCAUAACGAGACUCGAUAACUUGACGUCUAUCCCCACCCAGGGCCACGGUAUGGAUACCGGUACUUUUGAGUUGUCCAAAAUGGCCAUCAAUAAGCUACUUUGGCAACGUCAGUGGCAUUGCAGUGAGCAUGAUCAGACAAAGUAGCCUGUUUAGGCUUCUUGAUCUCUUCGCAGGUACAGCUGUCGUUUGUGGUUAAGGAAUAUACUAAGAUUAAGACUAAACCUACGGCAAAUCCAAAGACAACGACAAAUAAGAUAACGAUGGGGAGGCCGAACACGAAAGCGAACACGCAUACGAAGGUGAUCACGAAAACGACAGCCUCAGUAGUGUGUGCUCUGUUAUGAAAUGAACAUAUGAAAUUUUGUUUUCUACCAACUCACCUUUUCAGCUCACUUGUUUUCAAUGAACUAAGCCAAUAAACUCAAUACACAGCGAUAUACACGAGUCAGCAUAAAGCCAAAGACGAAUACCAUAACGAUGGAAAAGCCGAACACGAAUACAAAGAUGGUUACAAAGGCGAACAUGAAAGCGAUCACGAGGCGAAGGUGACGACGAGGGAAACGAAAAUUAACACGAAGACGCAUACGAAUGAAAAUGCGAACACGAAUACGAAGUUGUGUAUGAAUUCGAACUAAUAAUAAUUAUAUUUACCAUUGCAAUUACGAACACAAAACGACGAUUGGCAU
Rhagoletis pomonella (apple maggot) is the source of this 2439-nucleotide long non-coding RNA. RefSeq lists it as uncharacterized. The record is from RefSeq and is a predicted model, not a curated record. NCBI's taxonomy places the organism in Eukaryota, Metazoa, Arthropoda, Insecta, Diptera, Tephritidae. The transcript has 2 exons.